This 253-nucleotide ribosomal RNA is filed under the name uncultured bacterium. RNAcentral describes it as "partial 16S ribosomal RNA". It matches the Rfam family "Bacterial small subunit ribosomal RNA", at positions 524 to 776 of the family's 1533-position model. The record is from RNAcentral.
UACGUAGGGUGCAAGCGUUAAUCGGAAUUACUGGGCGUAAAGCGUGCGCAGGCGGUUUUGUAAGACAGAUGUGAAAUGCCCGGGCUUAACCUGGGAACUGCAUUUGUGACUGCAAGGCUAGAGUGUGUCAGAGGGGGGUAGAAUUCCACGUGUAGCAGUGAAAUGCGUAGAUAUGUGGAGGAAUACCGAUGGCGAAGGCAGCCCCCUGGGAUAGCACUGACGCUCAUGCACGAAAGCGUGGGGAGCAAACAGG